RNAcentral lists this ribosomal RNA (326 nucleotides) under uncultured eukaryote. RNAcentral describes it as "partial 18S ribosomal RNA". It matches the Rfam family "Eukaryotic small subunit ribosomal RNA", at positions 1470 to 1796 of the family's 1831-position model. The record is from RNAcentral.
CCCUUAGAUGUUCUGGGCUGCACGCGCGCUACACUGAUGCGCUCAACGAGUUUAUGACCUUGCCCGGAAGGGUUGGGUAAUCUUCUUAAAACGCAUCGUGAUGGGGAUAGAUUAUUGUAAUUAUUAAUCUUCAACGAGGAAUUCCUAGUAAGCGCGAAUCAUCAGUUCGUGCUGAUUACGUCCCUGCCCUUUGUACACACCGCCCGUCGCUCCUACCGAUUGAGUAAUCCGGUGAAUAAUUCGGACCGAUUGCGAUGUCAGUUCCUGGCGCCGCAGACGGAAAGUCUAGUGAACCUUAUUACUUAGAGGAAGGAGAAGUCGUAACA